CCUACGGGAGGCAGCAGUGGGGAAUAUUGGACAAUGGGCGAAAGCCUGAUCCAGCAAUGCCGCGUGAGUGAUGAAGGCCUUAGGGUUGUAAAGCUCUUUUACCAGGGAUGAUAAUGACAGUACCUGGAGAAUAAGCUCCGGCUAACUCCGUGCCAGCAGCCGCGGUAAUACGGAGGGAGCUAGCGUUGUUCGGAAUUACUGGGCGUAAAGCGUACGUAGGCGGUUAUUCAAGUCAGAGGUGAAAGCCUGGAGCUCAACUCCAGAACUGCCUUUGAAACUAGAUAGCUAGAAUCUUGGAGAGGUGAGUGGAAUUCCGAGUGUAGAGGUGAAAUUCGUAGAUAUUCGGAAGAACACCAGUGGCGAAGGCGACUCACUGGACAAGUAUUGACGCUGAGGUACGAAAGCGUGGGGAGCAAACAGGAUUAGAUACCCUGGUAGUCCACGCCGUAAACGAUGAUAACUAGCUGUUCGGGCUCUACGAGCUUGAGUGGCGCAGCUACGCAUUAAGUUAUCCGUCCGUCGGGAGGUACGGUCGCGAAGAAUUAAACUACAAUAGAAGUUAGUACGGCGUGAGACGUAGCCGACGACGACGACGAGGGAGGUUAGG
This 607-nucleotide ribosomal RNA is filed under the name uncultured bacterium. RNAcentral describes it as "bacterial SSU rRNA". The stretch from base 1 to 517 matches the Rfam family "Bacterial small subunit ribosomal RNA", at positions 338 to 873 of the family's 1533-position model. The record is from RNAcentral.